Molecule: ribosomal RNA, 328 nt
Filed under: uncultured eukaryote
Lineage: Eukaryota
Description: partial 18S ribosomal RNA
Rfam family: Eukaryotic small subunit ribosomal RNA
Source: RNAcentral
CCCUUAGAUGUUCUGGGCCGCACGCGCGCUACACUGAUGCAUUCAACGAGUCUAAAACCUGCUCUGAUAGGGGUGGGUAAUCUUUUGAAUGUGCAUCGUGAUUGGGAUAGAUGAUUGCAAUUUUUCAUCUUCAACGAGGAAUGCCUAGUAAACGCAAGUCAUCAGCUUGCAUUGAUUACGUCCCUGCCCUUUGUACACACCGCCCGUCGCUCCUACCGAUUGAGUGGUCCGGUGAGGCUUUGGGAUCUGAGCAAAGAGAGCGUUUCGCUCGUUUUGCCCGGAAAACUCAGUCGAACCUUAUCAUUUAGAGGAAGGAGAAGUCGUAACA